Molecule: ribosomal RNA, 483 nt
Filed under: uncultured bacterium
Lineage: Bacteria
Description: partial 16S ribosomal RNA
Rfam family: Bacterial small subunit ribosomal RNA
Source: RNAcentral
AUUGAACGCUGGCGGCAGGCCUAACACAUGCAAGUCGAGCGGAUGAAGGGAGCUUGCUCCUGGAUUCAGCGGCGGACGGGUGAGUAAUGCCUAGGAAUCUGCCUGGUAGUGGGGGAUAACGUCCGGAAACGGGCGCUAAUACCGCAUACGUCCUGAGGGAGAAAGUGGGGGAUCUUCGGACCUCACGCUAUCAGAUGAGCCUAGGUCGGAUUAGCUAGUUGGUGGGGUAAAGGCCUACCAAGGCGACGAUCCGUAACUGGUCUGAGAGGAUGAUCAGUCACACUGGAACUGAGACACGGUCCAGACUCCUACGGGGGCAGCAGUGGGGAAUAUUGGACAAUGGGCGAAAGCCUGAUCCAGCCAUGCCGCGUGUGUGAAGAAGGUCUUCGGAUUGUAAAGCACUUUAAGUUGGGAGGAAGGGCAGUAAGUUAAUACCUUGCUGUUUUGACGUUACCAACAGAAUAAGCACCGGCUAACUUCGUG